RNAcentral lists this ribosomal RNA (552 nucleotides) under Janthinobacterium lividum. RNAcentral describes it as "partial 23S ribosomal RNA". It matches the Rfam family "Bacterial large subunit ribosomal RNA", at positions 657 to 1209 of the family's 2925-position model. The record is from RNAcentral. RNAcentral also lists the same sequence under 15 other names. Lineage: Bacteria; Pseudomonadati; Pseudomonadota; Betaproteobacteria; Burkholderiales; Oxalobacteraceae.
AUAGGGAAGCCGUAGAGAAAUCGAGUCCGAAUAGGGCGAUCAGUCGCUGGGUGUAGACCCGAAACCAAGUGAUCUACUCAUGGCCAGGAUGAAGGUGCGGUAACACGCCCUGGAGGUCCGAACCCACUAAUGUUGAAAAAUUAGGGGAUGAGCUGUGGGUAGGGGUGAAAGGCUAAACAAACUUGGAAAUAGCUGGUUCUCUCCGAAAACUAUUUAGGUAGUGCCUCAAGUAUCACCAUCGGGGGUAGAGCACUGUUAUGGCUAGGGGGUCAUUGCGACUUACCAAACCAUUGCAAACUCCGAAUACCGAUGAGUGCGAGCUUGGGAGACAGACGUCGGGUGCUAACGUCCGGCGUCAAGAGGGAAACAACCCAGACCGCCAGCUAAGGUCCCAAAGAUUGGCUAAGUGGAAAACGAAGUGGGAAGGCUAAAACAGUCAGGAUGUUGGCUUAGAAGCAGCCAUCAUUUAAAGAAAGCGUAAUAGCUCACUGAUCGAGUCGUCCUGCGCGGAAGAUGUAACGGGGCUAAGCCAGUCACCGAAGCUGCGGAUAU